RNAcentral lists this ribosomal RNA (643 nucleotides) under uncultured fungus. RNAcentral describes it as "eukaryotic LSU rRNA". It matches the Rfam family "Eukaryotic large subunit ribosomal RNA", at positions 40 to 647 of the family's 3401-position model. Lineage: Eukaryota; Fungi. The record is from RNAcentral.
AUUUCAAUAAGCGGAGGAAAAGAUACUAACAAGGUUUCCCCUAGUAACUGCGAGUGAAGCGGGAAAAGCUCAAAUUUAAAAUCUGGCGGUCCUUGGCCGUCCGAGUUGUAAUUUAGAGAAGGGUAUUGCGCGCUGUUCCGUGCACAAGUCUCCAGGAAUGGAGCUUCAUAGAGGGUGAGAAUCCGGUAUUUGGCACGGAUACCGCAGGGCUUGUGUGUUGCGCUCUCGAAGAGUCGAGUUGUUUGUGAAUUCAGCUCAAAAUGGGUGGUGAUCUCCAUCUAAACAUAAAUAUUUCUGAUAGUCCGAUCGCGGAACAAGUUCCGUGUGGGAAUGUUGAAAAGCACUUUGGAAAGAGAUGUGAGUCACUACGCUGAAAUUGUUGAAAGGGAAACGCUUGAAGUCAGUUGCGUCGGCCGAGACUCAACCUCGCCCUCGGCUUGGUGUACUUCUCGGCUGACGGGUCAGCAUCAAUUUCGCUCCUCAGGAUAAUGGCGAGGGAAAGGUGCGCACCUUUGCGGUGUGUUAUAGUCUCUCGUCGCAUGCAAGGGUUGGGAUUGAUGGAUACUACAGCACGCGCCUUUGGGUGUCGGGGCUUUGCCUCGCGAUACGUGCUUAUGGAUGUUGGCGUAAUGGCUUUAAACGA